This is a small nuclear RNA of Toxorhynchites rutilus septentrionalis, 135 nucleotides long. RefSeq annotates it as U4 spliceosomal RNA. The transcript has a single exon. NCBI's taxonomy places the organism in Eukaryota, Metazoa, Arthropoda, Insecta, Diptera, Culicidae. The record is from RefSeq and is a predicted model, not a curated record.
AGCUUUGCGCAGUGGCGAUAUCGUAACCAAUAAAGAUUUACCGAGGUGCAAUCAUUGCUAGUUGAAAAAAAUCUUUUUAAUAGUGUAUCAUGUUUUCUACAAGGAAUUCGAAACAUUUUUUUUUCUGUUAAUGGU